GGAAAGGGGUGACUCAGUAGGAAGAGUAGUUGUCUUGCAAUCAGAAGGUUGUGGGUUCAAUAUCAGCUUCCUCCU
Molecule: non-coding RNA, 75 nt
Organism: Ataeniobius toweri
Lineage: Eukaryota; Metazoa; Chordata; Actinopteri; Cyprinodontiformes; Goodeidae
Source: the annotation of a GenBank genome assembly